GCCGACGUAGCUCAGCUGGUAGAGCAGCUCACUCGUAAUGAGCAGGUCAGCGGUUCGAGUCCGCUCGUCGGCUCCA
This 76-nucleotide transfer RNA is filed under the name bacterium TMED88. RNAcentral describes it as "tRNA-Thr". It matches the Rfam family "tRNA". From Rfam's summary of the family: Transfer RNA (tRNA) molecules are approximately 80 nucleotides in length. Their secondary structure includes four short double-helical elements and three loops (D, anti-codon, and T loops). Further hydrogen bonds mediate the characteristic L-shaped molecular structure. tRNAs have two regions of fundamental functional importance: the anti-codon, which is responsible for specific mRNA codon recognition, and the 3' end, to which the tRNAs corresponding amino acid is attached (by aminoacyl-tRNA synthetases). tRNAs cope with the degeneracy of the genetic code in two manners: having more than one tRNA (with a specific anti-codon) for a particular amino acid; and 'wobble' base-pairing, i.e. permitting non-standard base-pairing at the 3rd anti-codon position. The record is from RNAcentral. RNAcentral also lists the same sequence under 7 other names.